This 1536-nucleotide ribosomal RNA is filed under the name Thismia tentaculata. RNAcentral's name for it is "16S ribosomal RNA". The record is from RNAcentral. Lineage: Eukaryota; Viridiplantae; Streptophyta; Magnoliopsida; Dioscoreales; Thismiaceae.
AGAUGAUCCAGCCACACCUUCCAGUAUGUCUACCUUGUUACGACUUCACUCUAAUCAUUAGCCUUAACCUUAAAAACAAAAUGUAUUAAAAAAAAAACAAAUUUGUUUUUGAUAUGACCAAUUUUUUUAGUGUGACGGGCGGUAUGUACAAGGCUCAAGAACAAAAAAUUCACCACCAUAUGACUAAAUGGUGAUUACUAGCAAUUCCAACUUCAUGAAGACGAAUUUCAGUCCACAAUCCGAAAUAAAAAAAGAUGAUUUUUUUUUAUUUUACAUAUUUAUUUUGUACCAUCCAGUGUAGCAUGUGUGUCGCCCAAAACUUUUGGGGCAUGAUGACUUGACGUUAUUCCCACUUUCACCAAAAUUAAUAAAUUAUUUUUACUAAUUAAUUUUUAAAUUAAAAAAAAAAGGUAGUUAAAUAUAGAAGUUUCGCUCGUUGAUGAACUUAAUCAUACUUUGACCCUAUGGCACGAACUUAUGUCAGCCAUGCGCCACCUGUAUCUAGUUAAAAAAACCGUAUUUUUAUUUGUAAAUAAAAACACAAAAUUAAUUUUGUUUUAUCAUGAUAUAUCAAGUCUGGUAAGAUUCCUCGGUUUACAUCGAAUUAAACCACAUGCUCCAUUGCUUGUGUGAGCCCCCGUCAAUUCCUUUGAGUUUCAUUUUUGCAAACGUACUCCCCAGGCAGGAUACUUUAUGCGUUAGCUAUAGCUACAAAAAUGGAAAAAUUCCAUAUUAAAAUUAAAUUUAACAAUACAGUGCUUAGUAUCCAGCGUUUACAGCUUAGACUACUAGGGUUUCUAAUCCUAUUUGAUACCAAAGCUUUCGUCUCUCAGUGUCAGUGUAAAAACAGCAGAGUGCUUUCGCAUUAGGUGUUCCUUUUGAUAUCUAUGCAUUUCACUGCUACUCAAAAAAUUCCCUCUGCCUGAAAAUUACUCAAAAACUUUUUAGUUUCCUUCGUUUAUUUUAUAUAUUAGAUUUAACUGGAGUAUAGCUCCAGUAUUUUAGGAAAAGACUUAAAAAGUCACCUACAAACACUUUACGCCCAAUGAUUCCGGAUAACGCUUACAUCCUCUGUAUUACCGCGGCUGCUGGCACAGAGUUAGCCGAUGUUUAUUCUUUGGAUACUGUCAUUUCUCCUUUAUUUUUUCUUUUCCAAAAAAAGAAGUUAAGGGCAAAAGGACCUAUGCCACACGUGGCAUUGCAUCCGUCAGGCUUUUGCCCAUUGCGAAAAAUUCCUCACUGCUGAUCUAAAAAUAGAUUGGAUAUAUCUUAAUUCCGUGUGGUUGAUCAUCCUUAUAGGACCAACUACUCUUUUUUGUCUUGGUAAACUAUUACUCUACCAACUAACUAAUUAGACAUGAGACCACCAAAAUAAAAUAAAAAAUUAUUUUCAAAAAAAAUAUUUAAAUAAAAGGUUAGUUCUUAUGUAUUACUCACCAGUACGCUACUGUAAAAAAUAAUUAAUUUCUACUUUAAGGUUAACUCGCAUGUGUUAAGCAUGCCACUAGCGUUCAUCCUGAGCUAGGAUCAAACUCU